RNAcentral lists this non-coding RNA (162 nucleotides) under uncultured Prevotella sp. Lineage: Bacteria; Pseudomonadati; Bacteroidota; Bacteroidia; Bacteroidales; Prevotellaceae. The record is from RNAcentral.
UUGGUUCACACCACGUGAUUAAAAGGGAACAGAGUGAGAAUCUCUGACAGUCCCGCUGCUGUAGAUUGCCUUUAUACGGCUGGAAUACAACAAUGUCACUGACAACAACGUUCGGGAAGACAUUCCAGCUUGGCAAAAGUCAGAAGACCUGCCGAUGCUAAA